UACGGCCGUACCAUGCUGAAUAUACCGGUUCUCGUUAGAUCACCGAAGUCAAGCAUCAUUGGGCGCGGUCAGUACUUGGGUGGGUGACCACCUGGGAACACUGCGUGCCGUU
This is a non-coding RNA of Caerostris darwini, 112 nucleotides long. Lineage: Eukaryota; Metazoa; Arthropoda; Arachnida; Araneae; Araneidae. The record is from the annotation of a GenBank genome assembly.